AUUGAACGCUGGCGGCAGGCCUAACACAUGCAAGUCGAGCGGCAGCGGGGGGAAGCUUGCUUCCUCGCCGGCGAGCGGCGGACGGGUGAGUAAUGUCUGGGAAACUGCCCGAUGGAGGGGGAUAACUACUGGAAACGGUAGCUAAUACCGCAUAACGUCUACGGACCAAAGUGGGGGACCUUAGGGCCUCACACCAUCGGAUGUGCCCAGAUGGGAUUAGCUAGUAGGUGGGGUAAUGGCUCACCUAGGCGACGAUCCCUAGCUGGUCUGAGAGGAUGACCAGCCACACUGGAACUGAGACACGGUCCAGACUCCUACGGGAGGCAGCAGUGGGGAAUAUUGCACAAUGGGCGCAAGCCUGAUGCAGCCAUGCCGCGUGUGUGAAGAAGGCCUUCGGGUUGUAAAGCACUUUCAGCGAGGAGGAAGGGUGGUGUCUUAAUACGGCAUCACAUUGACGUUACUCGCAGAAGAAGCACCGGCUAACUCCGUGCCAGCCGCCG
Molecule: ribosomal RNA, 500 nt
Filed under: uncultured bacterium
Lineage: Bacteria
Description: bacterial SSU rRNA
Rfam family: Bacterial small subunit ribosomal RNA
Source: RNAcentral